CCUACAUUAGAUCAAUAUUCAUCCUACAUUAGAUCAAUAUUCAUCCUACAUUACAUCAAUAUUCAUCCUACAUUAGAUCAAUAUUCAUCCUACAUUAGAUCAAUAUUCAUCCUACAUUAGAUCAAUAUUCAUCCUACAUUAGAUCAAUAUUCAUCCUACAUUAGAUCCAACCCGACACACGUGCGCCCUCUCCAACAACCCAACACACGUGCGCUCUCUCCAACAACCCAACACACGUGCGCUCUCUCCAACAACCCAACACACGUGCGCUCUCUCCAACCCGACACACGUGCGCUCUCUCCAACCCGACACACGUGCGCCCUCUCCAACAACCCAACACACGUGCGCUCUCUCCAACAACCCAACACACGUGCGCUCUCUCCAACCCGACACACGUGCGCUCUCUCCAACCCGACACACGUGCGCCCUCUCCAACAACCCAACACACGUGCGCUCUCUCCAACAACCCAACACACGUGCGCUCUCUCCAACCCGACACACGUGCGCUCUCUCCAACAACCCAACACACGUGCGCUCUCUCCAACCCGACACACGUGCGCUCUCUCCAACCCGACACACGUGCGCUCUCUCCAACCCGACACACGUGCGCCCUCUCCAACAACCCAACACACGUGCGCUCUCUCCAACCCGACACACGUGCGCCCUCUCCAACAACCCAACACACGUGCGCUCUCUCCAACCCAACACACGUGCGCUCUCUCCAACAACCCGACACACGUGCGCUCUCUCCAACAACCCGACACACGUGCGCUCUCUCCAACAACCCGACACACGUGCGCUCUCUCCAACCCGACACACGUGCGCUCUCUCCAACCCAACACACGUGCGCUCUCUCCAACAACCCGUCACACGUGCGCUCUCUCCAACCCAACACACGUGCGCUCUCUCCAACAACCCGACACACGUGCGCUCUCUCCAACCCGACACACGUGCGCUCUCUCCAACCCGACACACGUGCGCUCUCUCCAACCCGUCACACGUGCGCUCUCUCCAACCCGACACACGUGCGCUCUCUCCAACCCGACACACGUGCGCUCUCUCCAACCCGACACAUGUGCGCUCUCUCCAACAACCCGACACACGUGCGCUCUCUCCAACCCGACACACGUGCGCUCUCUCCAACAACCCGACACACGUGCGCUCUCUCCAAC
This 1172-nucleotide long non-coding RNA is filed under the name Cyclopterus lumpus (lumpfish). RNAcentral's name for it is "lncRNA (ENSCLMG00005011983.1)". Lineage: Eukaryota; Metazoa; Chordata; Actinopteri; Perciformes; Cyclopteridae. The record is from RNAcentral.